RNAcentral lists this transfer RNA (69 nucleotides) under Balaena mysticetus (bowhead whale). Its description in RNAcentral is "transfer RNA-Glu". It matches the Rfam family "tRNA". From Rfam's summary of the family: Transfer RNA (tRNA) molecules are approximately 80 nucleotides in length. Lineage: Eukaryota; Metazoa; Chordata; Mammalia; Artiodactyla; Balaenidae. The record is from RNAcentral.
GUUCUUGUAGUUGAAUAACAACGAUGAUUUUUCAUGUCAUCAGUCAUGGUUGAAGUCCAUGUGAGAAUA